RNAcentral lists this ribosomal RNA (404 nucleotides) under uncultured bacterium. RNAcentral describes it as "bacterial SSU rRNA". It matches the Rfam family "Bacterial small subunit ribosomal RNA", at positions 29 to 416 of the family's 1533-position model. The record is from RNAcentral.
AACGAACGCUGGCGGCGUGCCUAACACAUGCAAGUCGUGCGAGAAAGUUCCUUCGGGAGCGAGUAAAGCGGCGCACGGGUGAGUAACACGUAGGUAACCUGCCCCCCAGUCUGGAACAACUAGAGGAAACUCUAGCUAAUGCCGGAUGAGACCACGAUCCCUUCGGGGGUUGCGGCCAAAGAUGGCCUCUACUUGUAAGCUAUCGCUGAGGGAUGGGCCUGCGGGCCAUUAGCUUGUUGGUGAGGUAACGGCUCACCAAGGCUGUGAUGGCUAGCUGGUCUGAGAGGAUGACCAGCCACACUGGGACUGAGACACGGCCUAGACUCCUACGGGAGGCAGCAGUGGGGAAUAUUGCGCAAUGGGCGAAAGCCUGACGCAGCGACGCCGCGUGGGUGAUGAAGGCC